CCUCAGGCUUGCAGCCCCUCCAUGUUUUGUUUGCUGACUGAGAGCUGCGCUUAUUUUCCUGUGGCUUUUUUUGUUUGUUUGUUUGAAUUGUUCCAUUGUCACUUUUCAUAACUUUUGUAAGUUGCAUUUGGGGACAAUGAAGUGGAAAUGAAUCAGUGAAAUAAUGAGAUGUUCCUCAUGAGCCUGCCUUCAUUUUACUGAGAAGGAGGCGAGUCUCUUCCACAGAGCUCAGAAAUGCUCUUUUUCAUCAUCCUUCCUUUAUUUUUUUGCUUCUCCUCCAGUUAGAGCUCCCAGAAUCCCCCAACCAGCAAAGGAUUCUGGGAACCGUAGUAAAAAAAAAAGGGUACGUAAAGUUCCCAGGCUCCGCUCUUUCACAAAACUGGGCGAACUCGGCCACGGAAGCGUCGCCACAGCUUGGCUCCCGCCAAAACUUCAAAGAGAGGCGUUUUUAACAGGAGGAGUAGGGAUUGGAGCUCCCUGGGCCGAAGGGCGGGGCGAAGAACGCACGGGGCCCAAUCCAAGCUGAGGGCUUAAGCAGCCGCCCGUUCUGCCUUUCUUUCCACCACCCCCGUCUCCUCGGAAACAAAUCCCGCCCUCUCAUCUUUUUUUUUCUCCCGGCCGGUCAAGGGAAGGCGUGCGUUUCCAGUGCGCAGGCGCCGUUUCUUAGUCCGCGGUGCGCAGGCGCCCUUGGCGAAGGGUCCGCGAGGAAGGCUCGAGCGAGCCAGGUGGAGCGGGCUCUUGCGAUCACGUUGGCCGCCCCGAGCAUGGGGCAGUCGACCCACUUCGGUGCCGUCUUCUCUCUUCACCUCUGUGUUUGGUCCAGAGAGGGUCACCGUGCGCAAAAGACCUGAAGAAGAGGAAGAGGACGAAGUAGGGGAUGGGCAAAAUCGCCACGCUCCCGUUUCCUUGCAUUUGCCUCUCACACAAUCCCGAAAAGUCUUGAACCCACGUUACAAAGUGAGCUCAAUGGAAGCCUGUCUAGGCCCUGAGAUUGUUCUGGGGAGAUUCAGCCGCUGAUGCACGCAGUGAGCUUGAAGGGGAUCCAACACCUGGUCUUUGAGGUGGUGGCUCCCCAUUUACGUCCCUAAAUAAGUAUCUCUGCCCACCGUUUUUGUUUUACGUAGGACAGUACCGUCCUCUUUUGAUAAUUUUUUUGCAGGGUGCAGGUGGUGUCCAAUAAAUUAUUGCUCUGUUUAAUUUUGGGUGGUUCA
This 1211-nucleotide long non-coding RNA is filed under the name Pogona vitticeps (central bearded dragon). RNAcentral's name for it is "lncRNA (ENSPVIG00000003170.1)". Lineage: Eukaryota; Metazoa; Chordata; Lepidosauria; Squamata; Agamidae. The record is from RNAcentral.